GGUUCCAUAGCUCAGUUGGUUAGAGCGUACGGCUAAUAACCGUAAGGUCGGUGGUUCAAUCCCACCUGGGUACUA
Condylostylus longicornis is the source of this 75-nucleotide non-coding RNA. Lineage: Eukaryota; Metazoa; Arthropoda; Insecta; Diptera; Dolichopodidae. The record is from the annotation of a RefSeq genome assembly.